CCCUUAGAUGCUCUGGGCCGCACGCGCGCUACACUGGUCGAUGCAACGAGUUUCUUUCCUUGGCCGACAGGCCUGGGCAAUCUUUGAACAUCGAUCGUGAUCGGGAUAGAUUCUUGUAAUUUUUGAUCUUAAACGAGGAAUUCCUAGUAAACGCAAGUCAUCAGCUUGCAUUGAUUACGUCCCUGCCCUUUGUACACACCGCCCGUCGCACCUACCGAUUGAAUGGUCCGGUGAAAUCUCCGGACUGGCGUGAGUCGGAGCACUCUGACAAACACCGGAAAGUUGAUUAAACCUUACCAUUUAGAGGAAGGUGAANUCGUANCA
Molecule: ribosomal RNA, 324 nt
Filed under: uncultured eukaryote
Lineage: Eukaryota
Description: partial 18S ribosomal RNA
Rfam family: Eukaryotic small subunit ribosomal RNA
Source: RNAcentral